RNAcentral lists this ribosomal RNA (1343 nucleotides) under uncultured bacterium. Its description in RNAcentral is "16S ribosomal RNA". It matches the Rfam family "Bacterial small subunit ribosomal RNA", at positions 28 to 1378 of the family's 1533-position model. The record is from RNAcentral.
GACGAACGCUGGCGGCGUGCCUAACACAUGCAAGUCGAACGGAAAGGCCCUGCUUUUGUGGGGUGCUCGAGUGGCGAACGGGUGAGUAACACGUGAGUAACCUGCCCUUGACUUUGGGAUAACUUCAGGAAACUGGGGCUAAUACCGGAUAGGAGCUCCUGCUGCAUGGUGGGGGUUGGAAAGUUUCGGCGGUUGGGGAUGGACUCGCGGCUUAUCAGCUUGUUGGUGGGGUAGUGGCUUACCAAGGCUUUGACGGGUAGCCGGCCUGAGAGGGUGACCGGCCACAUUGGGACUGAGAUACGGCCCAGACUCCUACGGGAGGCAGCAGUGGGGAAUAUUGCACAAUGGGCGGAAGCCUGAUGCAGCAACGCCGCGUGCGGGAUGACGGCCUUCGGGUUGUAAACCGCUUUCGCCUGUGACGAAGCGUGAGUGACGGUAAUGGGUAAAGAAGCACCGGCUAACUACGUGCCGGCAGCCGCGGUGAUACGUAGGGUGCGAGCGUUGUCCGGAUUUAUUGGGCGUAAAGGGCUCGUAGGUGGUUGAUCGCGUCGGAAGUGUAAUCUUGGGGCUUAACCCUGAGCGUGCUUUCGAUACGGGUUGACUUGAGGAAGGUAGGGGAGAAUGGAAUUCCUGGUGGAGCGGUGGAAUGCGCAGAUAUCAGGAGGAACACCAGUGGCGAAGGCGGUUCUCUGGGCCUUUCCUGACGCUGAGGAGCGAAAGCGUGGGGAGCGAACAGGCUUAGAUACCCUGGUAGUCCACGCUGUAAACGGUGGGUACUAGGUGUGGGGUCCAUUCCACGGGUUCCGUGCCGUAGCUAACGCUUUAAGUACCCCGCCUGGGGAGUACGGCCGCAAGGCUAAAACUCAAAGGAAUUGACGGGGCCCCGCACAAGCGGCGGAGCAUGCGGAUUAAUUCGAUGCAACGCGUAGAACCUUACCUGGGUUUGACAUGGAUCGGGAGCGCUCAGAGAUGGGUGUGCCUCUUUUGGGGUCGGUUCACAGGUGGUGCAUGGCUGUCGUCAGCUCGUGUCGUGAGAUGUUGGGUUAAGUCCCGCAACGAGCGCAACCCUUGUUCACUGUUGCCAGCACGUUAUGGUGGGGACUCAGUGGAGACCGCCGGGGUCAACUCGGAGGAAGGUGGGGAUGACGUCAAGUCAUCAUGCCCCUUAUGUCCAGGGCUUCACGCAUGCUACAAUGGCUGGUACAGAGAGUGGCGAGCCUGUGAGGGUGAGCGAAUCUCGGAAAGCCGGUCUCAGUUCGGAUUGGGGUCUGCAACUCGACCUCAUGAAGUCGGAGUCGCUAGUAAUCGCAGAUCAGCAACGCUGCGGUGAAUACGUUCCCGGG